This 997-nucleotide ribosomal RNA is filed under the name uncultured bacterium. RNAcentral describes it as "bacterial SSU rRNA". It matches the Rfam family "Bacterial small subunit ribosomal RNA", at positions 505 to 1501 of the family's 1533-position model. The record is from RNAcentral.
GUGCCAGCCGCCGCGGUAAUACGGAGGAUGCAAGCGUUAUCCGGAAUGAUUGGGCGUAAAGCGUCCGUAGGUGGUUAUGUAAGUCUGUGGUUAAAGCGUGGGGCUCAACCCCAUAAAGGCCAUGGAAACUACAAGACUUGAGUAAAGUAGGGGUAGAGGGAAUUCCCAGUGUAGCGGUGAAAUGCGUAGAGAUUGGGAAGAACACCGGUGGCGAAAGCGCUCUACUGGACUUAAACUGACACUGAGGGACGAAAGCUAGGGGAGCGAAAGGGAUUAGAUACCCCUGUAGUCCUAGCCGUAAACGAUGGAUACUAGGUGUUGCCCGUAUCGACCCGGGCAGUGCCGUAGCUAACGCGUUAAGUAUCCCGCCUGGGGAGUACGCACGCAAGUGUGAAACUCAAAGGAAUUGACGGGGGCCCGCACAAGCGGUGGAGUAUGUGGUUUAAUUCGAUGCAACGCGAAGAACCUUACCAGGGCUUGACAUGUCUGGAAUCUCUGCGAAAGUAGAGAGUGCCUUCGGGAACCAGAACACAGGUGGUGCAUGGCUGUCGUCAGCUCGUGUCGUGAGAUGUUGGGUUAAGUCCCGCAACGAGCGCAACCCUCGUUUUUAGUUGCCAUCAUUAAGUUGGGCACUCUAGAAAGACUGCCGGUGACAAACCGGAGGAAGGUGGGGAUGACGUCAAGUCAGCAUGCCCCUUACGCCCUGGGCUACACACGUACUACAAUGCUCUGGACAAAGGGCAGCCAACCAGCGAUGGUGCGCUAAUCCCAUAAACCAGGGCUCAGUUCAGAUUGCAGGCUGCAACUCGCCUGCAUGAAGGCGGAAUCGCUAGUAAUCGCAGGUCAGCAUACUGCGGUGGAUCCGUUCCCGGGCCUUGUACACACCGCCCGCCGCACCAUGGGAGUUGGUCACGCCCGAAGUCGUUACUCUAACCCUUGUGGAAGAGGACGCCGAAGGUAGGGCUGAUGACUGGGGUGAAGUCGUAACAAGGUAACC